AGAGCGAACGCUGGCGGCAGGCCUAACACAUGCAAGUCGAGCGCCCCGCAAGGGGAGCGGCAGACGGGAGAGUAACACGUGGGAACGUACCCUUCAGUUCGGAACAACCCAGGGAAACUUGGGCUAAUACCGAAUACGUCCGUAAGGAGAAAGAUUUAUCGCUGAAGGAUCGGCCCGCGUCUGAUUAGCUUGUUGGUGAGGUAACGGCUCACCAAGGCUACGAUCAGUAGCUGGUCUGAGAGGAUGAUCAGCCUCACUGGGACUGAGACACGGCCCAGACUCCUACGGGAGGCAGCAGUGGGAAUAUGGACAAUGGGCGCAAGCCUGAUCCAGCCAUGCCGCGUGGAUGAUGAAGGCCUUAGGGUUGUAAAGUCCUUUCGACGGGGAAGAUAAUGACGGUACCCGUAGAAGAAGCCCGGCUAACUUCGUGCCAGCAGCCGC
Molecule: ribosomal RNA, 441 nt
Filed under: uncultured bacterium
Lineage: Bacteria
Description: SSU rRNA
Rfam family: Bacterial small subunit ribosomal RNA
Source: RNAcentral